Parelaphostrongylus tenuis is the source of this 71-nucleotide non-coding RNA. The record is from the annotation of a GenBank genome assembly. Lineage: Eukaryota; Metazoa; Nematoda; Chromadorea; Rhabditida; Metastrongylidae.
GCCUCGAUGGUGUAGUGGUAGCACGCGUCCUAGUUAAGGAUGAAACAAGGGUUCGAUUCCCGUCUGAGGCC